UAAACGAGGUAGAAGCUGAGCACUCUAGACGACUCGCGUUGAACAAACGGAGGAAGGUGGGGAUGACGUCAAAUCAUCAUGCCCCUUAUGUUCUGGGCUACACACGUGCUACAAUGGCCGGUACAGACGGAGGCGAAGCCGCGAGGCGGAGCAAAUCCGAAAAAGCCGGUCUCAGUUCGGAUUGCAGGCCGCAAUUCGCCUGCAUGAAGUCGGAAUCGCUAGUAGUCGCAGGUCAGCAUACUGCGGUGAAUACGUUCCCGGGCCUU
This 266-nucleotide ribosomal RNA is filed under the name uncultured Pelotomaculum sp. RNAcentral's name for it is "partial 16S ribosomal RNA". It matches the Rfam family "Bacterial small subunit ribosomal RNA", at positions 1119 to 1382 of the family's 1533-position model. The record is from RNAcentral. Lineage: Bacteria; Bacillati; Bacillota; Clostridia; Eubacteriales; Desulfotomaculaceae.